Molecule: ribosomal RNA, 429 nt
Filed under: Acidobacteriota bacterium
Lineage: Bacteria; Pseudomonadati; Acidobacteriota
Description: Acidobacteria bacterium partial 16S ribosomal RNA
Rfam family: Bacterial small subunit ribosomal RNA
Source: RNAcentral
UGGGGAAUUUUGGACAAUGGGGGAAACCCUGAUCCAGCCAUCCCGCGUGUGCGAUGAAGGCCUUCGGGUUGUAAAGCACUUUUGGCAGGAAAGAAACGUCAUGGGUUAAUACCCCGUGAAACUGACGGUACCUGCAGAAUAAGCACCGGCUAACUACGUGCCAGCAGCCGCGGUAAUACGUAGGGUGCAAGCGUUAAUCGGAAUUACUGGGCGUAAAGCGUGCGCAGGCGGUUCGGAAAGAAAGAUGUGAAAUCCCAGAGCUCAACUUUGGAACUGCAUUUUUAUCUACCGGGCUAGAGUGUGGCGGAGGGAGGUGGAAUUCCGCGUGUAGCAGUGAAAUGCGUAGAUAUGCGGAGGAACACCGAUGGCGAAGGCAGCCUCCUGGGAUAACACUGACGCUCAUGCACGAAAGCGUGGGGAGCAAACAGG